RNAcentral lists this ribosomal RNA (495 nucleotides) under uncultured bacterium. RNAcentral describes it as "partial 16S ribosomal RNA". It matches the Rfam family "Bacterial small subunit ribosomal RNA", at positions 28 to 507 of the family's 1533-position model. The record is from RNAcentral.
GACGAACGCUGGCGGCGUGCCUAAUACAUGCAAGUAGAACGCCGAAGGAGGAGCUUGCUUCUCUGGAUGAGUUGCGAACGGGUGAGUAACGCGUAGGUAACCUGCCUGGUAGCGGGGGAUAACUAUUGGAAACGAUAGCUAAUACCGCAUAAUAGCAGUUGUUGCAUGACAACUGUUUGAAAGGUGCAAUUGCACCACUACCAGAUGGACCUGCGUUGUAUUAGCUAGUUGGUGGGGUAACGGCUCACCAAGGCGACGAUACAUAGCCGACCUGAGAGGGUGAUCGGCCACACUGGGACUGAGACACGGCCCAGACUCCUACGGGAGGCAGCAGUAGGGAAUCUUCGGCAAUGGACGGAAGUCUGACCGAGCAACGCCGCGGGAGUGAAGAAGGUUUUCGGAUCGUAAAGCUCUGUUGUAAGAGAAGAACGAGUGUGAGAGUGGAAAGUUCACACUGUGACGGUAUCUUACCAGAAAGGGACGGCUAACUACGUG